AUACGAAGGGGGCUAGCGUUGUUCGGAAUCACUGGGCGCAAAGCGCGCGUAGGUGGAUCAAUUAGUUGAGGGUGAAAUCCCGGGGCUCAACCUCGGAACUGCCUUCAAUACUGUUGAUCUUGAGACCGAGAAAGGUGAGUGGAAUUCCUAGUGUAGAGGUGAAAUUCGUAGAUAUUAGGAAGAACACCAGUGGCGAAGGCGGCUCACUGGCUCGGUACUGACGCUGAGGUGCGAAAGCGUGGGGAGCAAACAGGAUUAGAAACCCUAGUAGUCC
This 274-nucleotide ribosomal RNA is filed under the name uncultured bacterium. Its description in RNAcentral is "partial 16S ribosomal RNA". It matches the Rfam family "Bacterial small subunit ribosomal RNA", at positions 523 to 796 of the family's 1533-position model. The record is from RNAcentral.